GACGAACGCUGGCGGCGUGCCUAACACAUGCAAGUCGAGCGCGAAAGGGGCUUCGGCUCCAAGUAGAGCGGCGAACGGGUGAGUAACACGUGGGCAACCUGCCCCAGGGACUGGGAUAACCCUCGGAAACGAGGGCUAAUACCGGACGUACAUGUGUCACACAAGUGGCACAUGCAAAGGUAGCUUCGGCUUCUGCCCUGGGAUGGGCCCGCGGCCUAUCAGCUUGUUGGUGAGGUAAAGGCUCACCAAGGCUACGACGGGUAGCUGGUCUGAGAGGACGAUCAGCCACACUGGGACUGAGACACGGCCCAGACUCCUACGGGAGGCAGCAGUGGGGAAUCUUGCGCAAUGGGCGAAAGCCUGACGCAGCAACGCCGCGUGGAGGAAGAAGGCCUUCGGGUGUAAACGUCCUGUCCAGGGGGAAGGAAGGCGACCUGGGUUAAUAGUCCCAAGGGCCUGUACGGUACCCCUACGAGGAAGCCACGGCUAACUACGUGUCCAGCAGCCGCGGUAAUCAACG
Molecule: ribosomal RNA, 520 nt
Filed under: uncultured bacterium
Lineage: Bacteria
Description: bacterial SSU rRNA
Rfam family: Bacterial small subunit ribosomal RNA
Source: RNAcentral